AGCCUCAGGAAAUUAUCUAAGGUUAGACCUGCCCAAUGUGUAAAAUGAAUGGCCGCGGUACUUUGACCGUGCUAAGGUAGCGCAAUCAAUUGGCUUUUAAUUGGAGCCAGGUAUGAAUGGAGUUACGGGGUUUAGCUGUCUCUUUUUUAUUGUAUUGAAGUUACUUUGCAGGUGAAAAAGCCUGUAGCUAAUAGGGGGACGAGAAGACCCUUAGAGUUUUACCUAUAUUAUUUUUUUUAUAAUGGUUUAGUUGGGGCAACUUAGGAUCAAUUUUUAAACAUCCUUAAAUUAAUUAACCGAUUUUUAUAAAUUUGAAUAAACUACCUUAGGGAUAACAGCAUAAUUUUAUAAAUAAGUUUGUGACCUCGAUGUUGGACUAGGGAACUAAGAGGCUAGCCGCUUUUUAGGUGGGUUCUGUUCGAACUAUUAUUCCU
This 434-nucleotide ribosomal RNA is filed under the name Trapania aurata. RNAcentral describes it as "partial large subunit ribosomal RNA". It matches the Rfam family "Archaeal large subunit ribosomal RNA", at positions 1909 to 2666 of the family's 2987-position model. Lineage: Eukaryota; Metazoa; Mollusca; Gastropoda; Nudibranchia; Goniodorididae. The record is from RNAcentral.